This 396-nucleotide unclassified non-coding RNA is filed under the name Hevea brasiliensis (rubber tree). Lineage: Eukaryota; Viridiplantae; Streptophyta; Magnoliopsida; Malpighiales; Euphorbiaceae. The record is from RNAcentral.
AAGCAGUGAAGAUCUUCCCACGCCCUACUUCUGGCCCCCUCCGUCCUGUUGUUCAAUGUCAAACACUCAAGUACAACAUGAAAUCUAGGUCAGGCAGGGGAUUUUCUCUGGAGGAGCUGAAGGCAGCAGGCAUUCCCAGAAAGCUUGCCCCAACCAUUGGAAUUUCUGUUGAUCACCGACGCAAAAAUCGUUCCUUGGAGGGCCUUCAAGCCAAUAUUCAAAGGCUCAAGACCUACAAGGCCAAGCUUGUCAUCUUCCCACGUCGCUCGCACAAGUUGAAGGCUGGUGAUUCUUCACCAGAGGAGCUAGCAGCUGCAACACAGGUCCAGGGCGCAUUCUUGCCCAUUGCUCGUGAGCAGCCACCGGUUGAGAUUGUGAAGGUGACCGAUGAGAUGA